AAAAAAGAUUUGCUUUCUAGAAUUCAUGGUUUUAUUUAAUGUGUUUUUCUUUUGUUUUUAUGAUUUCUCAAAUCUACAAAUUGGUGAUUUCCAUGCACUGAAUCAUUGCUCUGUUUUUUCAUUGGUUAUGAAUUUUUCUGUAAGUUUUUCAAUUAGAUGUGCAUAUGAAAAAAAUUAUUUGUGGCUAAUGAUGAUAUGUAUGGGGAGCAGGAGUUCCAUGGACAGAGGAGGAGCACAAGCUGUUCCUUUUAGGA
This 254-nucleotide unclassified non-coding RNA is filed under the name Hevea brasiliensis (rubber tree). Lineage: Eukaryota; Viridiplantae; Streptophyta; Magnoliopsida; Malpighiales; Euphorbiaceae. The record is from RNAcentral.